Molecule: long non-coding RNA, 431 nt
Organism: Phasianus colchicus (ring-necked pheasant)
Lineage: Eukaryota; Metazoa; Chordata; Aves; Galliformes; Phasianidae
Source: RefSeq, a predicted model, not a curated record
UUUUCAAUUUCAUGUUGUACGAACUGAAAAUGGAGUAUCUGACACACAAAGCAGCACCCAGCAAACCAUUCCUUACAGAGCAGUUCUCAUGCAAAAGAAGGAGAAAGAAAUGAUGCAUAUUACAACAGUACAACUUAUUACAUUCUGUCAGCACCUUGUCUGAAGAUUGUUCUUAUGAAGGGAAGAUUUCUCUGGUACAGCCUGGAGCAGUGGAUAUUUCCAGCACCUGUAGUGUGCCACUGCAGCUAUUCCUGUCAUGUUCACAAGGAUACGAACACCUACAUGAAACCAGCCCAGGUCUUGCUCACCUCCAUCUCCCCCAAAAAUAUCAGGAAAGUUAGGAGCAAAAAAACUUUCCAGUGCUGUUUUUUUGAGGACUCAGGAACACAAAAUUUGAUUUACAUUUUUAACUGCUUUAAUGAAAAUGAAAU